AUGUCACGGGGAUCAGCUUGGGCUGCCCGCCGUGAUGGAGCGUUCACGUCGGUGGAGGACCCGCAGCAGCAACGCCUCGCUGAGUGGAUGGACCAGGACAAGCGGGCACGGCGUCGCGCCGAGUUGGGCGGCCGUAUUGCAGCCAUCGCGGCGCGGGUGGCUUCAGAGCUGUCGGCGGCGGUAGCAUCGGAGGUGUCGGCUGCUGUUGCCGCGGCGCUACAGGCUGCGCGGGCGGGGCACCACGAGCACCUCGACCUUGAGUCGACGACCACAUCAAUCCCAACUGCUUCGGUGGCGGACGACCUCGCCUCUUCCGCCGCAGCAUCAAAAUUGUCUGAGGUCGUCGUCGGUGUCGUCACCGAGUGUGGCUGCAUCGACCUCAAGCCCGCGGCCGCGACCUCGACUCUGACCUCCGCACUGGACAUCUCGGGCGCAUGUUCAGCGAUGAACCCACUCAUCCCCCCUGCAACCAGUGGCUGCUCCGCUGGGGUGCACACCACGUGUUCGACGCGAUGCCCAAGCCACACAGUCGCCAUGUCGGUGUCAAUGACAACUCCUGCCGCAACAUCAGCUUCGUCCCAGGUCACCGUCGAUGUCGUUCCCGAACUCUGCUGCCUUGACCUCGAGCCAUCGGAUGUCGUCGAGCUUGUCACAAUGCCGGCCAAGUGUUCGACAGAAGGUCUGAAUGACGACCUAUUGGUCAUGCCUGAGCAGCAGGACCACUAUAAGGAAUAUGCAAAUUCAGUACAAGAUGCCAGCAUUCCCUGUGUGCUUCCUGUCAUUGUUGUUUGUGAGUUUCCUGCAUAUUCCAACCUCCAGCUCCUUCAUUGUGAUUUGCCUGAACUGGUUACUACACUAGUUUGCUUGCCAAUAUCGCCUUGGGAUGGAAACUGUAUGCGGCUGCCACCUGAUCAAUUAUAUGGGCAGAAGAGUAACAUCCUACUACUGGAAUACGAUAUGCAUGGGGAGAUUCUGACUGCUUGUGGAAGUACUGUAUUUCAAUGCAAUGUACAUCUGCGAACAAUCCAUGGCAGUUUUGUGAUUGACAAGUUGCAGAGAGGCAUGAAAAUCAAAGCUUGCUGCCCCCAAUUAAAACCUGAACCAUAUGAAGUUACUUGUUGUUCUGCUAUCAGUCUUGCCUUGCAUGCAACAAGCUACUCUUCUGAAAUUUGUGUGCAAGUUCUUGCUGAGAAGAGGAAAUUGUCUUGUGAGCUCUUUCGACCUAGAAUGUUUUGGCCAUACAAACAGAUAAUUGGUACCCUUGGAAUGCUCUUAUCUGACGAGGACUUUGAGGUCGGAACUUAUUUUGCAUUCGAGAUGCAUAAUUGUCUACCCAGCUACCAAGGCACCUGGUUCAGUUUUAUGACAGUAUUGUUUGCCAUUCCUCAAUUUGGUGUUGGAGACUGGGAUUAUUUCAAAAAUUCUAGUUUGAAGCUCAAGGAAUUAUUGCUUCCUUACAUGGGUAAAGAGAUCCUUCAAGCCAGCUCUAUUGUCAUCUGUUAUUAUGUUGUUGGUGUUGCUGCAUGCUGCAAAUUUGGUACAAAAUUCAGAAGUGCAGAUGCAUCUUUAUCUGAGCUCCACAACCUAAAGUUCAUAGAUGCAUGCUUUUCUUCUGAUGUUGCUAUAUCAGUUUUGCUGUUUGAGCGAAUAAACUGGGAAGAGCUGCAGCCACCAACAGAUACAACUGAGAAGGGGCUUUCAAGGGCAUUUCCUUUGCCUGUGCAGACAUAUGGGUUUGGCAUGAGCUCGGCUCAAGCACGAGCCAAAAUUCACUGUGAGAGGAUUGUUAGUGGCCAAGUUCACUAUUCCUAUGAGCUCUCUAUUCCUGACAAUUUAUAUCAGAAAUUUUUGGUGGACUGCCGUACCUUGGAGCUAGUGAGCUGUAAACUCCCACAGGAAUUGCAUCUGAUUUGGGAUCUAGUGAGCUCUGAAGGUGUGACAAGUAUGGUACCAUUUCAGUUCCUUGUUUGUGUUGCCAUAUGGAGCUUCUGCCGUCUGGAGUAUUGUCAAGGAAAAUUGUCAUGGGACCCAGGCAUAUGGGCGCUUCUCUGUUUAUUCGGAUUGUUCACACAAGAUGAAGCAGAAGGGAGGAGAAAUGUUGCCACUCCAGCCGGCUACCGCGUCCACUACUUCGACCAGACUUACCACUUCAACAAAGUCCCUACUGGUCCGGACUUCCACCUUGAUGCCUACCUCGGCCAAGACCUCGUGGGCUACGACUACUACAUCAGCCUCAUUCAAGUCCAUUUUGUCGACAACUAUGUCAUCAGCCAGGGCUACCACCAUGAUCCCACUUCAAUCAAGGACAAUCAUGUGCCAUGGGAUCCAGGUGGUUUAACAUGGCAUCGGCUUGAGGUCAAGCCGAAUUUUAAGGAAAGGGGAAUGUUAGCGACCAACCUACUCUUGCUUGGGCUGGGCCAUGGGCUGCGGGUUUUGGGCUGCAGUGAGGCCUCGAGGAAACUACUACAACCCUUUAAGCACAAACCUUUCGACGCAAGGACUGUCAUGGGAUUUGGAGUGCUCAAUGGCAUCUUAAUUGGACUUCUCAACCAGAGUCUAGGUUUCAACUCUGUUGGUUUCUAUCAGAGCAAGUCGAGCGCAUUAGUUGGAUCCAGCUUCUUGAUAUUGCAGAGGACUCGUCAAAAGGUGGAUUACUACUUCCUUGGAUAUUUUCAGGUUAUUAUUUCCUUGCUCCCCUUUGCCGGCAAGCAUUCUCAUCUUCUGGUCACUUGCGUAGGCGCCAUGGACGCCGCUCUUGUGCUCAUCAAGGUCUGCUGCUCCUUGUUCCAGUCCCAUGACAAGCAGCAGCAGUAG
RNAcentral lists this ribosomal RNA (2814 nucleotides) under Triticum aestivum (bread wheat). RNAcentral describes it as "partial small subunit ribosomal RNA". Lineage: Eukaryota; Viridiplantae; Streptophyta; Magnoliopsida; Poales; Poaceae. The record is from RNAcentral.